Molecule: transfer RNA, 85 nt
Filed under: Candidatus Harrisonbacteria bacterium CG10_big_fil_rev_8_21_14_0_10_42_17
Lineage: Bacteria; Candidatus Harrisoniibacteriota
Description: tRNA-Ser
Rfam family: tRNA
About the family: Transfer RNA (tRNA) molecules are approximately 80 nucleotides in length. Their secondary structure includes four short double-helical elements and three loops (D, anti-codon, and T loops).
Source: RNAcentral
GGAGGGGUGCGCCGAAUGGUAAGGCAGCAGGUUGCUAACCUGUAACGAUGAAAGUCGUUUGUGGGUUCAAGUCCCACCUCCUCCG